UACGAAGGGGGCUAGCGUUGCUCGGAAUCACUGGGCGUAAAGCGCACGUAGGCGGCUUUCUAAGUCAGGGGUGAAAUCCUGGAGCUCAACUCCAGAACUGCCUUUGAUACUGGGAAGCUCGAGUCCGGAAGAGGUGAGUGGAACUCCGAGUGUAGAGGUGUAAUUCGUAGAUAUUCGGAAGAACACCAGUGGCGAAGGCGGCUCACUGGUCCGGUACUGACGCUGAGGUGCGAAAGCGUGGGGAGCAAACAGG
RNAcentral lists this ribosomal RNA (253 nucleotides) under uncultured bacterium. RNAcentral describes it as "partial 16S ribosomal RNA". It matches the Rfam family "Bacterial small subunit ribosomal RNA", at positions 524 to 776 of the family's 1533-position model. The record is from RNAcentral.